CCUACGGGAGGCAGCAGUGGGGAAUUUUGGACAAUGGGGGCAACCCUGAUCCAGCCAUUCCGCGUGAGUGAAGAAGGCCUUCGGGUUGUAAAGCUCUUUCGGCAGGAACGAAACGGCCAUUACUAAUACUAGUGGUCAAUGACGGUACCUGAAGAAGAAGCACCGGCUAACUACGUGCCAGCAGCCGCGGUAAUACGUAGGGUGCGAGCGUUAAUCGGAAUUACUGGGCGUAAAGCGUGCGCAGGCGGUUUUGUAAGACAGAUGUGAAAUCCCCGGGCUUAACCUGGGAACUGCGUUUGUGACUGCAAGACUCGAGUGCGGCAGAGGGGGGUGGAAUUCCGCGUGUAGCAGUGAAAUGCGUAGAGAUGCGGAGGAACACCGAUGGCGAAGGCAGCCCCCUGGGUCGACACUGACGCUCAUGCACGAAAGCGUGGGGAGCA
RNAcentral lists this ribosomal RNA (440 nucleotides) under uncultured bacterium. Its description in RNAcentral is "bacterial SSU rRNA". It matches the Rfam family "Bacterial small subunit ribosomal RNA", at positions 338 to 770 of the family's 1533-position model. The record is from RNAcentral.